UACAGAGGCCUCGAGCGUUAGGCGGAAUCACUGGGCUUAAAGCGUGUGUAGGCGGAUCGGUAAGUACCUUGUGAAAUCCCACGGCUUAACUGUGGAACUGCUGGGUAUACUGCCAGUCUUGAGCCACUCAGGGGCUACCGGAACAAAUGGUGGAGCGGUGAAAUGCGUAGAUAUCAUUUGGAACGCCAAUGGUGAAAACAGGUAGCUGGGGGUCUGCUGACGCUGAGACACGAAAGCCAGGGGAGCAAACGGG
RNAcentral lists this ribosomal RNA (253 nucleotides) under uncultured bacterium. RNAcentral describes it as "partial 16S ribosomal RNA". It matches the Rfam family "Bacterial small subunit ribosomal RNA", at positions 524 to 776 of the family's 1533-position model. The record is from RNAcentral.